RNAcentral lists this small nuclear RNA (307 nucleotides) under Mustela putorius furo (domestic ferret). Its description in RNAcentral is "7SK RNA (ENSMPUG00000021798.1)". It matches the Rfam family "7SK RNA". From Rfam's summary of the family: 7SK was discovered as an abundant small nuclear RNA in the mid-70s but a possible function has only recently been suggested. Two independent studies have found that 7SK RNA binds the CDK9/cyclin T complex (known as elongation factor P-TEFb). P-TEFb activates transcription by phosphorylating the C-terminal domain of RNA polymerase II. The record is from RNAcentral. Lineage: Eukaryota; Metazoa; Chordata; Mammalia; Carnivora; Mustelidae.
AGAUGCGAGGGCAAUCUGUCUGUGACAUCCAUUGAUUGGCAGGGUUGAUUCUGUGGAUCUAGCUGUUUAGGCAGGUGUCCCCUUCUUCCCUCACUGCUCUAUGUGCAUCCAUCCCGAAGCUAAAUACUCAGUUGAAGAGGACGAUCUUCCCCAACAGAGGAGGUCUGUUCUUCAGUCAAAGGGUAUAGGAGUAGCUGUGCUCUCCAGCUAGCCUUCCCAACAAGCUCUCAAAGCCUAUUUAAAAUUGUAUAAGAUUCAACAAUUGGAGAAGACUUACUGAUCUUCCUCUGGAUAUCUGAAGCAAUUA